AGAACGGCUCUAGCUUGCUAGAGUGUCAGCUAAGUGGCGCACGGGUGAGUAACGCAUAGGUGUACGUACCUUGUAGUCUGGGAUAACAGUUGGAAACGACUGCUAAUACCGGAUAUUCCCUCAGGGGGAAAGAUUUAUUGCUACAAGAUCGGCCUAUGUCCUAUCAGCUUGUUGGUAAGGUAAUGGCUUACCAAGGCGACGAUCAGUAUCUGGUUUGAGAGGACGAUCAGACACACUGGAACUGAGACACGGUCCAGACUCCUACGGGAGGCAGCAGUGGGGAAUUUUCCGCAAUGGGCGAAAGCCUGACGGAGCAAUACCGCGUGAGGGAUGACGGCCUAUGGGUUGUAAACCUCUUUUUUCAGGGAGGAACAAAAUGACGUGUACCUGAAGAAUAAGCAUCGGCUAACUCCGUGCCAGCAGCCGCGGUAAGACGGAGGAUGCAAGUGUUAUCCGGAAUCACUGGGCGUAAAGCGUCUGUAGGUGGUUUAAUAAGUCAACUGUUAAAUCUUGAGGCUCAACCUCGAAAUCGCAGUCGAAACUAUUAGACUAGAGUAUAGUAGGGGUAAAGGGAAUUUCCAGUGGAGCGGUGAAAUGCGUAGAGAUUGGAAAGAACACCGAUGGCGAAGGCACUUUACUGGGCUAUUACUAACACUGAGAGACGAAAGCUAGGGUAGCAAAUGGGAUUAGAUACCCUGGUA
Molecule: ribosomal RNA, 701 nt
Filed under: uncultured phototrophic eukaryote
Lineage: Eukaryota
Description: bacterial SSU rRNA
Rfam family: Bacterial small subunit ribosomal RNA
Source: RNAcentral